CAGCAGCCACGGUAAUACGAAGGGUGCAAGCGUUACUCGGAAUUACUGGGCGUAAAGCGUGCGUAGGUGGUGGUUUAAGUCCGUUGUGAAAGCCCUGGGCUCAACCUGGGAAUUGCAGUGGAUACUGGGUCACUAGAGUGUGGUAGAGGAUAGUGGAAUCUCCGGUGUAGCAGUGAAAUGCGUAGAGAUCGGGAGGAACAUCAGUGGCGAAGGCGGCCAUCUGGGACAACACUGACGCUGAGGCACGAAAGCGUGGGGAGCAAACAGGAUUAGAUACCCCUGUAGUCCCUGUCUCUUAUAC
Molecule: ribosomal RNA, 301 nt
Filed under: uncultured bacterium
Lineage: Bacteria
Description: partial 16S ribosomal RNA
Rfam family: Bacterial small subunit ribosomal RNA
Source: RNAcentral